UGGGAAUAUGCCCUUCUCUACGGAAUAGCCUCGGGAAACUGAGAGUAAUACCGGAUACGCCCUUCGGGGGAAAGAUUUAUCGGGGAAGGAUUAGCCCGCGUUAGGAUUAGGUAGUUGGUGGGGUAAUGGUCUACCAAGCCUACUAUCAUAGCUGGUUUGAGAGGAUGAUCAGCAACUACUGGGACUGGGACACUGGCCCAGACUCCUACGGGAGGCAGCAGGUGGGGAAUCUUAGACAAUGGGCGCAAAGCCUGAUCUAGCCAUGCCGAGUAGAAGUGACCGAAGGCCCUAGGGUCUGUAAAGCUCUUUCACUGGGGAAGAUAAAUGACUGUACCCACUAAAGAAGGUCCCUGGCUAACUCCGUGCCANCACCCGUGAUAUAGUGGAAGGGACUAACCGUCCGUUCGGAAUUACCAGNGCNGUAAAGCACGAGAUAGCUCGACAUU
RNAcentral lists this ribosomal RNA (446 nucleotides) under uncultured bacterium. Its description in RNAcentral is "bacterial SSU rRNA". It matches the Rfam family "Bacterial small subunit ribosomal RNA", at positions 118 to 584 of the family's 1533-position model. The record is from RNAcentral.